UCCGGUUGCGUGGUAGAGCAUUCGGCUGUUAACCGAAGGGUCGUUGGUUCGAGCCCAACAGGGGGAGCCA
RNAcentral lists this transfer RNA (70 nucleotides) under Oscillospiraceae bacterium. RNAcentral's name for it is "tRNA-Asn". The stretch from base 4 to 59 matches the Rfam family "tRNA", at positions 9 to 63 of the family's 71-position model. From Rfam's summary of the family: Transfer RNA (tRNA) molecules are approximately 80 nucleotides in length. Their secondary structure includes four short double-helical elements and three loops (D, anti-codon, and T loops). Lineage: Bacteria; Bacillati; Bacillota; Clostridia; Eubacteriales; Oscillospiraceae. The record is from RNAcentral.